UCCAGACUCCUACGGGAGGCAGCAGUGGGGAAUAUUGCACAAUGGGCGCAAGCCUGAUGCAGCCAUGCCGCGUGUAUGAAGAAGGCCUUCGGGUUGUAAAGUACUUUCAGCGGGGAGGAAGGGAGUAAAGUUAAUACCUUUGCUCAUUGACGUUACCCGCAGAAGAAGCACCGGCUAACUCCGUGCCAGCAGCCGCGGUAAUACGGAGGGUGCAAGCGUUAAUCGGAAUUACUGGGCGUAAAGCGCACGCAGGCGGUUUGUUAAGUCAGAUGUGAAAUCCCCGGGCUCAACCUGGGAACUGCAUCUGAUACUGGCAAGCUUGAGUCUCGUAGAGGGGGGUAGAAUUCCAGG
Molecule: ribosomal RNA, 351 nt
Filed under: Escherichia coli
Lineage: Bacteria; Pseudomonadati; Pseudomonadota; Gammaproteobacteria; Enterobacterales; Enterobacteriaceae
Description: bacterial SSU rRNA
Rfam family: Bacterial small subunit ribosomal RNA
Source: RNAcentral